CUAUUUUCGCACCGUCAUAGUUUCAUACACCACUUCGUGAUGUAUUGAAUGAAAAAGGGAAUCCGGUGAAAAUCCGGGACAAUACCCGUUGCUGUAUUUCCCCCUUUUAAAGGAAAAGUUUAUCGUACGUUUGCCACUGGUUAGAAUGCUGGGAAGGCACGAUAAAAGGGAUAAGUCAGAAGACCUGCUAUGAUGAGGGACAGAUU
Molecule: non-coding RNA, 206 nt
Filed under: Butyricimonas synergistica
Lineage: Bacteria; Pseudomonadati; Bacteroidota; Bacteroidia; Bacteroidales; Odoribacteraceae
Source: RNAcentral